RNAcentral lists this ribosomal RNA (636 nucleotides) under Triticum aestivum (bread wheat). RNAcentral describes it as "partial small subunit ribosomal RNA". Lineage: Eukaryota; Viridiplantae; Streptophyta; Magnoliopsida; Poales; Poaceae. The record is from RNAcentral.
AUGCACGGCAUGAAUAUGUUCAAGGGAACAGAGCAGAUAAGCAUUAUUGUGGGACUAUCUAGAUCAGAUCUUGCAACUCCAAAAGGUGAAGGGCCCUUGAAAUGCUGUGAGAGUUCACUCGAGCUAGUAAAUGUUCUGAAGAAUGAGAUCCGUGAUGGACUACUGACGUUCAGAAGCAAAUGGGUUUUAGAGCUGGGCUGCAGAUAUGGGCUUCCUGGGAUAUUUUCUUGCCUGAAGGGAGCUUCAACAGUACAUUUUCAGGAUCCCAGUGCUGGAAUAAUAAGAUGCAGAACAAUCCCCAAUGUACUCGCAAAUCUCGAGCAAACUCGAGACAACCAGAGCCACCAACAAGGAAGCCCUCUUGCUCCAUCAUGGCAACAGUUGUCUCAAGACAUCCAUUUCUAUGCUGGGGAGUGGGAUGAGCUUCACACGGUCCUGUCAGUGAUACAGGAGGACGAGGUGGAUGCAUCGUCCGGCAUAGGGCUAGGGUUCUGUGAAGACGAUUUUUUGGAUGGUUGCAGCAGCCAGGAUGGGAACAAUAUCUGCCACGAAACCUCGUCAAGGCGAUCAACAAAACUGUCAGGCAGCCAUGCAUGGGAGAGGGGAAACGAGGCCUGUGCAGGAGAUGAGGGUUGA